Helianthus annuus (common sunflower) is the source of this 7894-nucleotide long non-coding RNA. RefSeq lists it as uncharacterized. Lineage: Eukaryota; Viridiplantae; Streptophyta; Magnoliopsida; Asterales; Asteraceae. The transcript is spliced from 8 exons. The record is from RefSeq and is a predicted model, not a curated record.
GUUCAAGAGCGCCAAACCCUUUUCCUCUGUUUUCCUUUUCACGCGGCUUCUUAGACACGCUUUCCAUCAUAUCAUUCAAAAAACCCUAAUUAUAUUCUCUUGCCAUUUCAUACAUCUGCGAUUUUAUUAGAAAUACCUGAUCUAUAGCAUGGCGAUUCUCAUCAAAGUGAUUGUUGGAAACCCUAAAUUGUAACCAGUGGAAUUGAAUUCAGGUAUGUUUAUUGUUUUGUACAUCGAUUAUUCAAGCUUUUAAUCUUACAAUCCUAUGAAACUUGUGAUGUUUGUUAUCAUCGAGUUUCCGUUUUCUUCCCCAUUCAUCAUCCUCUGUAAACCCCAGAGGAAUCUACACCAGUUAUUCGAGGAUUACUGAUUUAGUCUUGAUGGAAUGAUGGAUCUUUCAAAUGUUGUUUGUGAUUUUCAUCCCAGGUCUUCAAUUCUUUGAUUUCGAUAUUCACAGGUAUGAUUUAUUUCUAUUUUUAUUGGAAUUGCAAUUUUAUAGUUGUGGAUUUUAAGACAGGUGUUUGUUUUUUUAAUUUCAUCCCAGGUCUGAAAUGUUGACAUGUACAAUCAACUAUCAGGUUAUGUAGUUGAUAGAUUUUGACAUAGUUUGACCGAUUUAUUCUCUCAAGUGUAUCGUUGAGGUAUCAUUGCGUAUUUCCAAAACACAUUCCUGAUCCAUACGUUAACCUAGGGUUUUUCUAAUCAAUAUCAAACACUAAUACCCAAAUUGUCUUGAUAUUUUUACUGUUGAGGUGAAUAUUAGGGUUUAUUGCUUGCUUAUCAUCUCAUAUUCCUUUUCGUUUAGUAGUUUUGUAAUUGAAUGUUGAAGUAAAGUUUGUUGCGAAUAUUACGCAUGUAUUAGUUGUUUCUGAUUGUUAAUUGAUUUAGAAAAUGUUUUGUGUUAAAUGAAGACGAGAACAAGGUCUUUAGUGUAGUAUUCAAAACUCCUCCGUAAGUUUCUUUUCAGAAUCUAGAAAUUGUUGUCUAUUUGUUUAUGCGCAUAUGCAUUGUUAAUUGAAGCAGCUGAAUAUUUAAUAAUGUAGUAGACCGUUAUGUGUAAUUAGUUCCAAUCUUAGAUUAUAAAAAAUUUUAUUAAGUAUAUACACGGCAGCCAAAGAUUGCACCACGUUAUACUAAUUGUCACUUGACUCACUUUAUCCGACUGCAGGAAAGAUUUGACUGGAAUUCCUCAUAUAUAGGAACACAGUGUCCUAUUUGGUUCAAGAAAGUACCCUUUAAAAGAACCAUUUGUUGAACUACUGAAGGGGAGUUUGCAUACUUUUCUUAAUGCAUUCACAUAUCCUGAUAAGACAUGCUAUCAUGUUGCAUCUACAAACACAAAGGAUUUUUAUAAUUUGGUAGAAGUAUACAGGGGCGGACCUACAUAGGUCUUUACGGGUUCCCAGGAACCCAUUGCGUUUUGAAAUUUUAAUAGAAAUUAUAUGUAAAAAACCAAAGUGAACCCAUAAGAAAAUUAAAGGUGAACCCAUUAACACUAAAGAAGCAUGUUCCAGCGGAUAAAAUUCAGGUUUCUGUCCAAAGCGUUUCAGGGCUCCAGACACAAUCAGAAACGCAACCAGUAGUGAAGUAGUGAACCCUGAAUCAAUUUUGCACCUUCUUCUUUUCCUCCUGAGAAGAAAGGAUCUGAUGACCAUCAAUGGGCUCAGAGGCAUCUCAACUAAGUACUAAGUUAACGACCAUGACAGCCACCAGCGCUCACGGUUCUGUAGACUUUAUUCUGUUGUCAUAGAUCACACUUAUACCGUCAAUAAUCUAAGUGAAUUUGAACAUUUUGUCAUAAUUUUUUAGCAACUGAGACGCGUUUUCAUAUUGUUCAGAUUUAUUAAAUUAGAGGAUAUAUGUUUACUAUAUUUCUCCCAAGUCUAAUUAUUAUUGUGUAAUAAUAGGUCUCCACUUUAGUAAUAGAAACUUAGCUCAAUUUGUGGUCUGUUUUAAGCACAUCAUAUGCCCACCACCCUUAGGUAAACCUUGCUACAUGAUAUUGAUAGACUAAUAGUUAUACAUAUAUUGACUUUACAGGAACAAUUCAAGGUUUAGGAAAUGAAUGCAAUUUGAAGUAUAAAUAUGUCUCUUAAUCAAACACAAAAGAAGCCCUAAUUAGUUCAUUAUGAUACAAAUUAUUUCGUGAAAGGAAACAAUAAUACUGACUACCCCAUUUGCAAGUCGGAAUGCCAUAAAUUUCAUCGUCGGUACAAGCAUCACAGAGAAUGGAGGAGUGUAAUCACGAUUUAAGGUAACUUUCGAAUUACUCCGACCUUCCCUUUUUUAUUGAAUACUUGUGUUAUACGAAUAUCAAUUUUGAAUUUGUGAUUUAGUUUUAUUGAAACUUGAGAAUGGUUAUUGAAAAAAAUUCAUCAACGUUUGGUAUGUUCCCCUAACCCGACUCAAAAACUCUAACUUUUGGUUGGGAAAAAAUUGACCUUCGAAAAAAGUGAACCCAUAUGAAAAAAAUUCUGGAUCUGCCACUGGAUGUAUAUCUGGAUGCUGUUUUCUUUCCCCAAAUGUGUGGAGGACAUUCAGACUUUUCAACAAGAGGGUUGGCAUUAUGAGUUGAACAACCCUGAAGAAGAAAUAACUUAUAAAGGUCAAUAUGAUUUUCGCCAAGUAAUCCUUACUGAUCUUGAGUUUUUAGUUUUUAUUAUAAAUAUAUAUUCUAUUGUUAUUUAUAUGAUUACAUGCUCGCAUAGACUUCUCCUAUUAAUCAAAUUCCUUUAUUAAAUGAGCUCAAAUUAAAGGUUUAGUUGGCCUGAACACAUAUAAACUCGGCUCGAUAUUAACUUGCUAAACCGAAGAUUUUCGUUUUUAACUUUCAUCAAUUUCAUAAAUACGUCUUAUUUCAAACUGACUUCGAAAUAUAGUUCUAUACAAAUGGUUGAGCUGCGAUCAUUCUAUUGUUUUAUUUGAAAAGUUUUAUUUCUACAGCAAGCAAUUGACGGAUUCAUGUAUAUGACUUAACUUUGCACAUGAUAAAGAUUUACUUGGCAUGUAGCUUUUAAAGAAACUUUUUGAACCAACUAACAAAUUGGGCGGGUUGGGCAGGUGUGGGUCACCUGUUAAAGUGACUUUGGGUCAGAAUGAGUUCAGGUCAAUAUGGUUUAGGAUUAAAAUGAGUUUGGGUUAAGACGGGCUCAGAGCAAAAUGAGUUCGGUUCAUUUAAAAAACUUAUUAAUUAAGAUCGGGUAAACGUGAGUUUGGAGCAAAAUUAAUUUGGGUCAAACAGGUAGUUUAAAAGAAAAACUUUCAAACUUUUGGAAUCUCUUGAAAAAAGUAAAGACUAGAAAAUAGUGCGAGUUGGGUAACGGUGAAACAGGUGGUUUGAGAUACGGGUUAAAAAGGUGAGUCAACUUAGUUAACCUCUUACACCAUUACCAUUUAUUAUAGUUUUAUAGUUGUUUAGUACAUGGUAACUGAGUUUGUGCUUAUGCAGUCUAGAAACCACAAGGCAUGUUUCAGUGAUUAUAAUAACUCUCUCUACAAAGGAACUGAAUACAUCAUCUAUUGGGUUUUACAUCAGAUGGGUCAAAUAAAGGGUUAGUGAAAAGGGACAAACGAGUUUAAUGUUGGCUCAAAGCCAGUAUUUAUUUCAAAUAGGUCGAACAAAAUAAAUCUGAAAGGCAGCCAUUGUAACGGGUCGAAUGGGUUGAAAGUGGCUGAAAGUAUGUUUAUAAUGCAAACGCCCUUUUUCAUUGUUUAAUUCAAAGAUAUAGAUGAUCAUUGUAAUUAUAUUGUUUCUGAAAUCAUACAUAUUGAAAUAAUUGUUUUGCAGAUAUCAGCCCACAUUAUCAGCUAAUCAGAUGAAAGUGGCAACUGAGUUUGAGUAUCAUGGAGGUAUGUCUUUCUAGGCAUUUGUUUAUCAAGCAUUAAUGAUGAAGAGUGCACGUGUAGCUAAGGAAGUCGAUCACAAGCUCUAUACUACUGGCCCGAAAGAAAGCAAUAAAGGCUUUGGUGGUCACGAUCUCGAACAACGAGAGGUUGUGGUAAAAUUCCCACCCUAUCACAAACCCGAUCCCGAUGAGUCUACUGUUUCGUAGGAGAUGACGAGUGAGGAUGGUGGUAUGUGGAAGUAAGCAACAACAGCAGCUGCUGUAGCACCAGAGCCGAUGAACCAAAUUUCCCCCGCCGCCUCAAUAGAACGUGAUAUCCAAACCCGAUGCAUCCAAAUUUGAUGCGAAGGGGCAGGGAAAAGAGACAACACUGUAAGUCUGUAAGAAUUUAGUUUCCAAAUUGUAGUAUAUGUCUUAACUCUUUUGAUUUGCAUGAUAACCCUCACAGUGUAUAUACUUUGCAUUCUCUCUAAUUAUUGUUGUAGUUAUAAUCUAUUAAUCUGAUACUUUUAUUGUAGUUUAAUUUCGGGUGAUUGUUUUCGACAAAAGAUUUCGAAUCUAUUUUUUCGUCUUUUUAUUUUAUUUUUUAAAUUUUUAUAGUUGAACAACAAAAACGUGAUACUACAUGUCAUAUAAAGAAUUCCGGAAGAAAUUAUGACGUUGGGGACAAAAAAUGACAUGCGAACAUCACAAUCAAGUUAGCCAACCAAGUCAGCAGGCUUUUUUCCGUAUACGAUGAUUUUGGUAGUUUGCUCAACUCCAGAACUUUUAGUAAUAAUCACCCUUUAUGUAUAUUAUGCUAGACAUGCGACAUUAGUGACUCAAAAGGAAUUACCUAUUUCGUAAUCUACUUAUCUAUUUAUACUAUCAUCUUUGUAAUAGCGAUCUAUUGGGAUGGAUGAGAAGUCUGCCACAUCUCACCCUUCCCAGCUCUACUUUAUUAGUAAGACAUUACUAAGAAUGUUGUUUGUUUUUAUUUUGCUAUUUGAUCGCGCUAUGCUGUUUUUUUUAAGCCAACAAAAACUGAAAGCUCAAUAGGGCAGUUGAUCUCAUGCCUGGGUUGUUGAGCAUGAAGAAUCCAAUAAAAUGAAUGCUAGAAACAUUAGCAUGGUUAUCGCCCCAACAUGACUCAGGUAAAUCUUUUUAAAUAUUCAUAUUAAUGUCCACAAUCCUUAUCACCUUACUAAAACCAAGGUAAUAUUUUUGUGGAGUUAAUGCAGAGAGCCAAAUGUUAAUAAGUCAACUCCAUAUAAUUCUUCAGGUAGAAAAAUGGGCGGGUUGGGUCACUGGUUAGACGGGUAUAUUUUUCAUACCAAAUGGCUGCCAGUAGGGAUGAGCGUGGUACUGGUACCGGUACCGAAAAAUGUUCGGUAUUGUACCGACACAGGACCGGUGUGGUUCUGGUAUUUGAAGGCAAAAUUCGGUAUUUUUCCGGUGCCGAACUGAAGGUACCGGUACCAACAAGGCCAAAAACUGGGUACCGAAUACAAAUCCGAAAAAUUCGGUACAUGUAAUUUGGUACCCAGUACCAAAUGCUCAUCCCUAGCUGCCAGUCCAGCACUUUUUUGUCCAUUUUUCUAAUUUGUUACUUAGUUUGUACACAUAUCUUCAUAAUAAUCUGUAUAAUUUUGUCUUUAGUGUUAGUCUAUAAGCUUGCAGAUAUGUGGUUGUGCAUAUAAAAAAUAUUCAAGGACAUAAUGGGUUAUGCAUUUGAGGAAUAAUCAUGCGACUGGUAAUUUGAGGUAUGUAGUUAUGGUUUAGCCUGCUUUUAGGGAGUCAAGUGGAAUUUAAGAGAGUAUACUGGCUUUAACAUGAUUAAGCUGCAGUAGUGAUUUUCUAUGUUCAUGUUAUAAGAAUUGGGGUUAUUGUACAUAUUAACAUCAGUCUGCUCUAUAUGAUCUUAUUUCAAGUAGUUUUAGUUUCAUGACAUACUCAUAAGCAAAACAAGUAAAGGCAAUUAGUAUUAUUGUUAUUAUUAUUCUAGAAGGCAACAAUAUGCUCUUUCUUGGAAUAAUAAAUUUUUUAACUACACUGCAAGUUUGAUCUUAUAAAAAGAUUCUACUAACCAUAUUACCAAAGCAUUGUUUAGAUCAUAUUAGGCUGAAUUCACAACAAGAUGGAUCUAUAGAAACUAAUACCAGCUGUUUGGACACAACCAUCAGCAGUGUUCUUUUAUACAACCCGUAUAACACACGUGAACUUAAUUUAUGAUUAUUUCCAUGAUAUAAGAGAUUUUUUCAUUACAAGAUAUUAUUUAGACUUAUAUAUUAUAUAGGAUGCAUCACUCACAUAGUAUAAAACUUUUUAGGUUAGGCAUACCCAAUAAAGAUUUGAAACAUCCACUGGUCGUAUGUUUCGCAAUGACAAUCAACAAAAGUCAAAGGCAGUCACUUUCUAGAGUUGGUUGGUAUUUGAAACAACCCGUCUUCUUUCAUAGUCAAUUGUGUGUUACGGGUAGGCAAUCCUAUGGAUAUUGUAGCAGGUUGAAAAUUCUUGGUCUAUUCUAAUUUUAGAUUGAAAAAUAAUGACCAUUUGUUCAUCUCUUCAAUACAUUUUGCAAGACUUAUAUUAAUUUUUUUUGCCCUCAUGUAAGUUUGACUUUUUUUUUGUCUAUGUUGAAUUCUAGCCUAAUCCAGAUUCCACUAGAAACUUUGUUAUUUCUCAUGGUUGCACUGAAGUGGCAGCCCAAGCCUAUAGUUUGGUUGACUUUGAGCAUAAAAGGGUUAGUAAUAUCUUCUCUUAAUUUUGUUGACUUGAUGGUUCUAGAGAAAAGUUGUGGCUGUUUUAAAGGUAAGAGAAUGGGUGUAUAGGGCGGGUCAAUAACGCGUCAUAACACUAACAAGUUAUGGUGGAAUACCAGGAUGAAUGGUGUUCUUUACGUGCUUCAAAGUAUGUUAAAACCCUUAAAUCAUAUCUCCCUUUAUAUAUUAUGCACAUGUUACCCUUUCUGUGGCUACCAUUUGACCUAAUCACUCAUUAGUGGUAUACAAAGUCAACUUCACCUAUAUUUCACCUUAUUGAUUAAUAUUCUUUUUUUACUACAUUAGUUGAAUGGUUUGAAUAACAUGGCGUUUGGUUAUUGAUAUCUUGAACAUUAUAUUUCACCCAACACUUGCAGUGGAUAUCACCAAUCAACUCUAAGCUUUUGACAUGUUUCAUUUAAAUUUCUUUAUUUUGACAUGUUUCAUAUUUUUUAGAAUUAUUUUGACCUGUUUAACCUAAUUCAUUUUAAUUUCUGUACCUUGACCCACUUAAUAUUAACUAUAAUUUACCAUUUGUAAAAUUAAAUAUAAAAGCAGUGUUUGAAUUAUACUUCAAAUAUUUAACCAUUUCACUAAUGAUUUAAUUUUUUUUUGUUGGAUCAGUUCUUUGGUGAGCGUAAAUGAAAGCUUUCGAAGAUGUCUGAUGUAAAAAAAUUGCAUUUUGUUCCUGAUGCUCAUGAACCUAUGAUGAUAUUCAAGUGAUAUUGGAUUUCAAUAUACUUUAAGUGCAAAUCUAUAUAUGUGUGUCAGGUUAUUUGUUUGGAGAGGAAAGAUCCCAACACCAAUAGCUCUAGGGAACAUGGGGUAACUUUAAACAUGAUAGCAUGUGCAUUUUGUGAGGUGGCAGCUGAAACAAGAGACCACUUAUUGGUUCGAUUUUGCACUGCAGAUUCAGUGUGGCAGGAGCCAUCUAUAUGGCUAAAAGCUCCAAGGAGUUUAUGGAACGCGAGGAACCGUAAAGUCUUUUCAUGAAAGGAACACUUUGAUUUAUAUAGUGGUGGAAGAGAUGAAGGAAGAAUUGUUUGAAUGAGUAAAACACAUAUGGCGAAAGGCACACGGGUGACAUGAAAUGAAUUGCCAAGAUUUGAUUUCGCAAAGAUUUGAUUACUUUGUAUGUAGUAUGUUUGUUUGCUAUAGGGUGUUGCUUUACGAUCUGUAAUUAGGACUGAUAUAGCAUCUUGCUGUUUUGUCUAUUUUGGUUAUGAAUUAAAAAUCUCUAGCAUCAUGGUAUGGUGGCUUCAAGAUCAAUGUUAUUUGUUGCAUGCUCAGAAACAUGCUAUUUUGGGA